This 74-nucleotide transfer RNA is filed under the name Candidatus Auribacterota bacterium. Its description in RNAcentral is "tRNA-Pro". It matches the Rfam family "tRNA". Rfam says of the family: Transfer RNA (tRNA) molecules are approximately 80 nucleotides in length. Their secondary structure includes four short double-helical elements and three loops (D, anti-codon, and T loops). Further hydrogen bonds mediate the characteristic L-shaped molecular structure. tRNAs have two regions of fundamental functional importance: the anti-codon, which is responsible for specific mRNA codon recognition, and the 3' end, to which the tRNAs corresponding amino acid is attached (by aminoacyl-tRNA synthetases). tRNAs cope with the degeneracy of the genetic code in two manners: having more than one tRNA (with a specific anti-codon) for a particular amino acid; and 'wobble' base-pairing, i.e. permitting non-standard base-pairing at the 3rd anti-codon position. Lineage: Bacteria; Pseudomonadati; Candidatus Auribacterota. The record is from RNAcentral.
CGGGAUGUGGCUCAGCUGGCUAGAGCGCUGCGUUCGGGACGCAGAAGUCGGAGGUUCGAAUCCUCUCAUCCCGA